RNAcentral lists this long non-coding RNA (3076 nucleotides) under Olea europaea (common olive). Its description in RNAcentral is "long non-coding RNA (OEUR_LNC005042)". Lineage: Eukaryota; Viridiplantae; Streptophyta; Magnoliopsida; Lamiales; Oleaceae. The record is from RNAcentral.
AGAACACAUUUUGUGGACCAACAAAAAAUAAAAGGAAGCUUAAUCCCAUGUUGCAGGCCGUCUAAUAUAGUAAUAUUCAUCUCUCUCAAAUUCAAGUAAUUUUCUUAUUCAACUCAAUCAAUGGGCGAACUCCAAAUCAAACGCCCCUUUACUCUUCCUCCUCGGCCUCUACCUCCUCUGUCUUCAUCAGGUGAUGACCCUCCUUCUCCGGUGUCUUCGUCACGUGUCGAAAGCCUCCCGGCUCCUGCAAAUCCACUCUCUUCCUUUGAUCGCAGCAGAGGUAAAUUAUCUCUCUAUCUCUCUCUCUCUCUCUCUCUGUUAGUCUUUCAGAUUUUCUUAAUUUUGUGAUUUGCUGAUUUGUGCCCAAGAUUCGAUUUUGGUGAUAUAUGAGCAAACCUUUUGUAAUUUCUGGAAAGCGCCGGUGCUGGGUUGAAAUGGCCUUUUGUUUUCUUGAAUUGUUCGGAGGUGGAUAAUGUGCUGAUUGUUUUAUUUUCAGUAUCUUUUGAAGUUAGAAACUUGAAAUCUAAUCACUUAUUGUAAGAUUUAUUUUAUCCGUUUAAUUUUCUUUUCUAUUCCUAGGAUGUUGGUGUGUUAAUGUUUGUUCUGGUUAGAUUGAGCUUGUGUAACUGGUACGUCUGUAAUAUAGUGGAUUUGAUUGGUUUUGUUUCGGAUGAACUUUUAGUGCACAUGAUUGUAGAUGCUUGAAAUCUACAGUGACAUUAUGGAGUGCUGUUAUCAUGAAUAUGCUGGAAUUGAUAGGGUCAAUAUCCUGUCAUACUCUUAUGAUUGAGCUAGAUUGAUACAUAAGAUGUCCAGCCUCAGUGAGUGCAAGUGUUUGCUUAGGGUUGAAUGUCUGUGUGUAAACUAGGCAUCACAGUUUAUAAACGUUUAACAACUGACAUUUGAGGAGGGUGUCCUUGUGUCGAUGUUGCAUGAUCUCUGCUUCAUAGGACAUGUGGUUGAUGGUGGGAUAUGAAAUGGGCCCCAUGUGUCUAUUCCUGCUUCACCAAGGUUUUUUGGAGGAGGCAGCUUUAAUGCUUAUUACAUCGACUUGGUCAUGAAUUCGUGCAUGUUUGGCCAAGCUUAUUAUUCACAUUUUGUAGGAUACACAACUACUAUCCACUUAUUAACCACAAAUUCUGUAGGUUCCACCGUUUAUAAUCCUGGUUAAGGUCAAGGAUAAAGUGUGUUCCAAUAGGGUUUGAGCAUUUUGGUCAAUUUCCUCUGUUACUUUGCUCUGUUGUGUAUAGUUUUACCCAUGUGUCAUGUGGAGCACAAACAACCAGACUUCUAGUCUGGGGAUGGCACACCAGAUGCAAAUAGGUGAUGUCUGGCCAGGGGACCCUUUAGCUAUCCUUGUUUGAGACUGGUUGACUGGUCUCAUCCACUUGGAAAUUCAUGUAAAAGCUGCUAUUUCUACUUCUGAACAGAGUUUCCUCUGCCUUGUUGCUCUUAUUGCAUCGAACUAGAAUAGUCCCCUCAAUCCUACCUUCAGCUGCACAGUAAGUUAUUGGAUCAGUUUUGGUAAGUCACCCUGUCUUGUCUAUCUUCCACUUUAGUUUUGUGUAGGGUCUAUGGUCCAUAUCUGAUUUAUCCUCUACAGUGAUUUCUUCUACUUGAAAAGUUGGGAAGCAGUAUCCUGGGAAUAAAAAAAGUCUCUUGUGGUUUUUGUUUUACUCUAUAACUUUUAUAAAGGCUGGAUGACAAUAUAGUUGAGGAUUCAGUAAUAUUCUCUUGAAGAAGCGAAGUAAGGCAAAACUUACGAGAUAUUCAACUGCAACCAGAAGUGGCCUAUUAACGUAGGAAACUAAAGUAUUCAAGAAAGGAGAGAUUUUGUUUAUGGAAAACUGGGAGACUGUUGUGUUUAUAAAAUUAUUCUGAUGGAUUUGUUUGAACAAAAUAAUGAGUUCUUUGGUGUGAAAACAACAGGCAUGGGAAUGACAUAUAUUUGUGUUUGUAGUACAAAGAGAAAUAAAUGUUCGUUAAUUGAAACUAUGUGCUACAUCUUGCAAACAUGAUCUUUUCCAUCCUUCUUUUGAAGUGAUUGGUAUUUUUAACAUGAGAAUGGAGUAUAUUUGGGUUUGUUGUGCAAAGAGAAUUAAAAAAUGUCUUAAUUGAAACUAUGUGCUACAUCUUGCAAACAUGAUCUUUUCCAUCCUUCUUUUGAAGUGAUUGGUAUUUUUAACAUGAGAAUGGAGUAUAUUUGGGUUUGUUGUGCAAAGAGAAUUAAAAAAUGUCUUAAUUGAAACUAUGUGCUACAUCUUGCCGCACACUUGACGUAUUCCUUGCUUUUGAAGUGAUUGGCAUUAUUAGAAGGAAGGCCUUGAUUAAAGACCUGGCUGCUGUUUACCAAGCUGAGUGCCUCACAUACUGUCGAGAACUCUUAGGACUCCAAAGUAAUGUUGAUGAGGUACGAAGUUUCACGUUACAUAUUUUCUUUUUUCUUUUUUGUCUCAAUCAUGCUUUAGUUUAGCUCUUUUUGUACCCUGUCGAUUUUCUUAACUGGAAAAAUUGAUUUCAUUUAUUGGAAUGAGAUGUUUACUAAGCAUCAACAUACCUCUGUUAUUCAUUGGCUCAAUAAGUUAUUGCUCCUAAAUUUACAAGCUGAUCCAUCUUUUAUUCAUUGGGAUACUUCUCGACUAUUCCUGUUCUCCUUUGUGUUGAUCAGAUUCAAUGCAUGAUUUAUUUUACAGUUUCACGGCAUAUGGUAUACAAGAUUUCUAUUGUUCAGCACUGUACCGUUUAGCAAGAUGGACUUUAUAUCUUCGAAAGGAAUUAUAUUUUUUAUUACUAGAUGGAUAUAUAAGACUAUAAGCAGGUUUCUUUCCGAUGAAGCUGAGGCUGUGAUUCUAGAAGCAUACUGCUGCUUGAUAGAUGCCCUACAAUGAUAAAAUUUGUAUAUUAAAAUCCUACAUGUCAGGCAUUUAGUUUGAUUCUCAAAGUGCCCUGACUCCUAAACGGAGAGUAUAAGACACUCAGGGGCGUAGGGAGCAGUGGGCAAGGCCCAGCCCUUCCUCCCAAAAUUUGUUUUGCCCCUCCUGGCUCCACCCCUGAAGACACUAGUAAGCUACCAAUC